Molecule: small RNA, 23 nt
Filed under: Arabidopsis thaliana (thale cress)
Lineage: Eukaryota; Viridiplantae; Streptophyta; Magnoliopsida; Brassicales; Brassicaceae
Description: ATSL016370
Source: RNAcentral
AAAUUCAAAAACCAAAAAAAAAC